Long non-coding RNA from Acanthopagrus latus (yellowfin seabream), 1043 nucleotides. RefSeq lists it as uncharacterized. The record is from RefSeq and is a predicted model, not a curated record. NCBI's taxonomy places the organism in Eukaryota, Metazoa, Chordata, Actinopteri, Spariformes, Sparidae. The transcript has 4 exons.
UGCUGGGAGAAAUACAGCGCUCGUAUUUCUCUCUGGCUGGAGCACAGCACACUACAGACCUGAUGUGGAAGAUGCAGCCGGCAGGAUUAAUUGGGCCCAGUUACAGAGGAUCAGCAAGUUUGGUGCUCUUCACAUGCUGCUCCUCCAUAUGGCGGCACAGAAGUCACACACGAUGAUUAAUAGUUCAGCCUCUUCCACUGGCGGUAGUGACUCUCUGGGGCUCCUCAUGUUAUCCAGUCAGCUGAUAGUGCAUGCCUCCAUGCAUCACAGCUCCUAAGCUGUGAUUGAAACAUCAGGCAAGGAGGACGGGGCCCUAGAGAUGCUCCAGGCCUGACACCGACUCUCAGCGCCGAGUUCUAUCAUACCCAGUGCCGGGGCUCCCGCACACAUCAGACAGACCGUCUCUGUCCUCAGACAUCCUCAUCUGCCUCCCACUGCGCACAGCCCAGCUCGCCAGGAUUUCAAUCACAGGGCCAAAUGGAAUUAUUAAGAGGUGAAGGUCAGGAGAUGGCCCACAGCGUGGCAGCUGAUGGCCGCUUUUUCUUCUUUCUUUUUCAGAAAAAAACCCCUCAUUUCAUCUUCCUUCCUUCUUUCUGUCUUUCUUUCUGGGCAUCUCUACACUGCACAGCAUGCUUUUAAAAUACAAAAUGCAACACGUGAAGUGGCUGCACGUGCAGUGACCGAAAUAAAAAAUGGUUUAAACAAACUAAAUCGAUAAAGAAGGGAAGAAAGAAAGAAAGACAUGUCAACCUAACACAUCCUGUCAUCAUUUCCCUUUUGCUAAAAGACACGUACCAAAAGUUUCAGUUUCCUUCUUAUCUGGAUAUGAUUGGUGGGAAAGAAGUCGAGCGUAUGUGAAACACACCUCCUACAUAACACCUAUGCUCUCUGUGUUUUGUAUGAGGUGACAUUCUCUUGAUAUCACAUCUGUAAACAUCCCAUGGGAACUAGAAUACACAGACUACUGAGUAAGUGUCAGCCGUCUCCUGGCACCUGAUUCACCUUUCGUUGUCACUGUGCACUCGUGUAGGUUUAAAUAAACA